GAUGAACGCUGGCGGCGUGCCUAAUACAUGCGAGUCGAGCGAACAGACGAGGAGCUUGCUCCUCUGACGUUAGCGGCGGACGGGUGAGUAACACGUGGAUAACCUACCUAUAAGACUGGGAUAACUUCGGGAAACCGGAGCUAAUACCGGAUAAUAUAUUGAACCGCAUGGUUCAAUAGUGAAAGACGGUUUUGCUGUCACUUAUAGAUGGAUCCGCGCCGCAUUAGCUAGUUGGUAAGGUAACGGCUUACCAAGGCAACGAUGCGUAGCCGACCUGAGAGGGUGAUCGGCCACACUGGAACUGAGACACGGUCCAGACUCCUACGGGAGGCAGCAGUAGGGAAUCUUCCGCAAUGGGCGAAAGCCUGACGGAGCAACGCCGCGUGAGUGAUGAAGGUCUUCGGAUCGUAAAACUCUGUUAUUAGGGAAGAACAAAUGUGUAAGUAACUAUGCACGUCUGGACGGUACCUAAUCAGAAAGCCACGGCUAACUACGU
This 496-nucleotide ribosomal RNA is filed under the name uncultured bacterium. RNAcentral's name for it is "partial 16S ribosomal RNA". It matches the Rfam family "Bacterial small subunit ribosomal RNA", at positions 28 to 506 of the family's 1533-position model. The record is from RNAcentral.